This 438-nucleotide long non-coding RNA is filed under the name Nicotiana benthamiana. RNAcentral describes it as "long non-coding RNA (NBEN_LNC017228)". Lineage: Eukaryota; Viridiplantae; Streptophyta; Magnoliopsida; Solanales; Solanaceae. The record is from RNAcentral.
AUAUAUAUUAUUAUAUAAUAAUAUUAAGAUUAAGCAAGCAAGAAAACGGAUGCGCGAGGCUAAGGCUAUAGGCUUGAGCGCGUUAGCGCUUAAUCAAUCCGUUGCUUGUUCCUUUCGUGACUCAAACAGCCGGUACGCUUUCCGGCUCGCAACGACUCAAAGGGGCGGGGGCUAUAUAUUUGCUUGCAAAGCAGGCUGUUCGCCUUUCGGAAAGGGCGAGCCUAUUUGAUUCAAAAGGCGCUACUAAACUACUCUAGUACAGCUAGUGUUAGUAGUACAACAGAAUGCCGUUCACCCCGCAAGCCCUUCGUAUGCAAGCCCUACUGAAGUACCAAAGGCGAACGGCAUUAGUACAGCUGUUAAGAAUACUCUCCGAUGUUGACUUUGUAAACUAAUAGGCCGGUAGGUUACUUUUGAAUCAAAGUAGCGACGAAAGGG